Molecule: ribosomal RNA, 139 nt
Filed under: uncultured Geobacter sp.
Lineage: Bacteria; Pseudomonadati; Thermodesulfobacteriota; Desulfuromonadia; Geobacterales; Geobacteraceae
Description: partial 16S ribosomal RNA
Rfam family: Bacterial small subunit ribosomal RNA
Source: RNAcentral
UGGGGAAUUUUGCGCAAUGGGGGAAACCCUGACGCAGCAACGCCGCGUGAGUGAUGAAGGCCUUUGGGUCGUAAAGCUCUGUCAGAGGGAAAGAAAUGUGGGCGGCUAAUAUCUGUUCCACUUGACGGUACCCUCAAAG